CAAGGAGUUUUCCGCAAUGGGCGAAAGCCUGACGGAGCAACGCCGCGUGGGGGAUGACGCCCUUCGGGGUGUAAACCCCUUUUCUUGGGGACGAAGCAGUGACGGUACCCGAGGAAGAAGGCCCGGCUAACUACGUGCCAGCAGCCGCGGUAAUACGUAGGGGCCGAGCGUUGUCCGGAGUUACUGGGCGUAAAGCGCGCGCAGGCGGCUCGUCAAGCCUGACGUGAAAGCCCCCGGCUCAACCGGGGAGGGUCGUCGGGGACUGGCGAGCUUGAGGUCGGCAGGGGCUGGUGGAAUUCCCGGUGUAGUGGUGAAAUGCGUAGAGAUCGGGAGGAACACCCGUGGCGAAGGCGGCCAGCUGGGCCGGACCUGACGCUGAGGCGCGAAGGCGUGGGGAGCGAACGGG
This 406-nucleotide ribosomal RNA is filed under the name uncultured bacterium. Its description in RNAcentral is "bacterial SSU rRNA". It matches the Rfam family "Bacterial small subunit ribosomal RNA", at positions 355 to 776 of the family's 1533-position model. The record is from RNAcentral.